Suricata suricatta (meerkat) is the source of this 1764-nucleotide long non-coding RNA. RefSeq lists it as uncharacterized. NCBI's taxonomy places the organism in Eukaryota, Metazoa, Chordata, Mammalia, Carnivora, Herpestidae. The transcript has 2 exons. The record is from RefSeq and is a predicted model, not a curated record.
GAUGCCAGGAAAGGAUGGGCGAAGGAGAUCAGGUGCUGGGACGCGCCAGCGCACCCUGGGAAUCGCCCGCUGGUGUGGGUAGGGGGUUGGCGGGGAGGUGGGUGGAGAUGCCGCCCAGCUGGAGGUGAAACCUUGGACUUGGUCUAAAAAGCCCUGCUCCGGGAUCGUGCAGGAAUUUCAACAGGGCUCGGGUGCGUGUGAGUUAAUUUCAUCAGAAGCCGGUGCACGGCCUGAGUGCAACGGAUGGGGGAAGGGGGCGGUAAUCCGCCUCUUUCCGACCACGGGACCUCAAGGUGGGUGAAAGCAAGGCGUGGGGCGAGGGAGACGGCCUUCCCGGGGCCUUUCCGGGCCCUCCAUCCUCGUGCUGAAAGGAGAUCUGGGAUGGGACGUCUCUGGAAGGCCCUGUGAGGUCCCACCGGGCCGAGAGGCUGGGCCUGCGCCCGCGGUGCCUUCCACACCAUCUCUGCUGCUGCUGCAGCGAGGCCCGGGGAGCAGAUGACUCACUCUGCCGGCUAAUUGCAGCGCUAAAUAACUUUGCGUUGCAUCCAGAAGCAGGCAUGGCUGCAGCUGGGGAACGAGCUGAGGGAGCAGGGGAGACGCAGGAGUGCUUCGGAACACACCUCUCUUCCUGCCACCCACGUAGGAGACAUCCUGGGAGCUCUCGGCUGCAUAUACACCUUCUCGCACAGAGUGCGUGUCCGUCGGUGCCCGGUGAGCACGGGCACAAGACCCUGCAGGCUCCUCGCGUCUGGAGAAAGCCGCACCCACAUUCGCGAGGCAGCCCGCGCGCAGGGGCGCCUCGCCCACGUUUCACGGAAACCGCCUGCCCAGUAACUGUAACAUGAAGCCCCUUCAUGCAGCUCUCUGGACAUUUGCGUGGGACUGACUCGAACUGCAAUAGCUGUGAGGAGGAGAAGCGGGAUUCGCUGUAUUUUUAGCAGGGAGUGCAGAUUUUAGAACAUCAGCUGAACCUCCUCGUUGGGUCCUGCUCCUCUGGCAGGAUGACUUGCCAGAAAAGUGGGAAUAAUUAGGAACUCAAUGCAACGAGGGCCCAUGUCCAACUUGUGCCCAGCUCCUCCCCAUCAGGAUUCAGUCCUGCCUUGGAAUGAGAGAGUAAGUGAAUAAAUGAAAGGGUGGCCACUGCUAACCUUGGGUGGCUCUGUCCUGUGACAGAAUCUAAAUGUCUGUUUGGCUUUGCUCACAGGAGCACAGUCCAGGCCAGCAGGCAGAAGAGGCACCCACCUUUGUGUUCAGGUAGGGGAAAGCUCUCUAGAAAGGAGGCAGAAGGGAGGAGGGGGCUGGCAGCAGGAGGAAAGGCAAUGACCUAAAGAGGGAGCUUGGAACUCCUGGAACUCCAGAAAAGUUGGGGGCAGAGAACAGGUGACCUGUCAGGAAUGGUGGCCUUUGGAAUUCAUCCUGAGGAUGAGGAGACCCUAGAAGAACAGGAGGAUGCCGUGGUAUGUGUUUUGGAAGGAGCACUGCCAGACGAAGCCUGGGCUGAGGAGAUGAAGGCACGCAGGGGUGGGGGGAGUGUUUCGGGUGCAGGGAAGGGUCCUGCCCCCAUCACGGUGCUCAUCACAGGUUCUGCUGUCUGGCACUCAGCAGGAAGGAGGAGCAGUCGGUGGUCCCUGCUAUAAGAGGUGCCUUUUAGGGUGACCCCAUACCUGUCCCUCUCUCGCAGGGGGGUCCUCUGCACCUGAUGUGGUUCCUGACACCUGUAACCUGGAAUGUAAAUUGAAAUAAGCCAAGGAUAUUUUGAAUGUU